GGGUCUCCCAGGCGCGCCGUGGCGCCUCCCACCAGCGCGAUCACGUUGUGGCCCGCUCGCUGCAAAUGAAACAGGCCCAGCAGCGCAAGUAGAUGACCCACAUGAAGCGAGUCUGCCGUGGGGUCGAAGCCACAGUAAAUGGUUUGGGGAAAACUCGCCGUGCCACGGUCGAAGAGCUCUGGGAGCUCUAUUUUCGUCCCCGUCUCCGGGAAGAAGUCCUUGAACAGACCUCGAGCCUUCUGCGCUGCCAGUAACCCCUGAGCGCCCGAGUGGGCCUUACGCAGCCCCAAGGGCAACAAUACUGAGAGAUUUAGGGUACCAGACCACCGGCCCCAGGAAAAGGACCGCAAGAUGGGCGCCGCCAUCUUGGUAGCGGCACGAAGGGAAUGCUGGGAUUGCAGAGGCUCCCACCACACCCACCUACUUACAGCUCCUAGGGAAGGUGCUUCAGUGUUUUUCUGCGCAUGCCCGAGACGGUUACGUAGUUACGGAGCUUGCGCUCUCAGCAGUUGAGUCCCGACUCCAAGUGGCGAUUCCGCCUCAGAGCCGUCGCCUUACGUUCCCUUAAACUUAAUUUUUCCAUCAGCAGUGUGGAUCUGCUUAUGAUAGUUCCUACCUCAUAAGGCUGUUGUGAGCCUUAAAAAUUAAAGCAUUUGGCACAUAACGCUUCACAAAUGCUAACUUGUAUUUACAUUUUCACGUAAAAAGAUUGUGAUGCGCAAGUUCUUUGAAGUCUUGGUUCCAUGCAAAAAGCUGUUCACAGAGGUUGAGAAAGGUUAGGAAUUGGUUUAAGUUCGCGGAGAGAUAGGGAGUUGCUGCUGAGACGCAAGCAAUUUCAUAGUACCGAUUCCCUAAUUGCACCUCGUCCCCAGUAUUCAUCGGCUCUUCCAGGAGGUGGCAGUCUUGUCCAAGGUAUAGCAAGAAAAACUCAGUGCAAUAAAGUACAUGCAUCAA
Molecule: long non-coding RNA, 954 nt
Filed under: Homo sapiens (human)
Lineage: Eukaryota; Metazoa; Chordata; Mammalia; Primates; Hominidae
Description: novel transcript, antisense to YARS2
Source: RNAcentral